UAGCUGCAAGAUUAUGAGUUGGAUUGCUUC
This 30-nucleotide non-coding RNA is filed under the name Mus musculus (house mouse). The record is from RNAcentral. Lineage: Eukaryota; Metazoa; Chordata; Mammalia; Rodentia; Muridae.